ACCUAGCUGAAUCCAACGACGACAUAAUUCUUCUGUAGUAUUUCUACCAAAGCCACAUAUAUCAGCUCCAACCAUGGGAAUCCCAAACAGUCCAGAACUCAAAACGCUGGGAAUACUAUAAGCCAAGUCAUCCCAUGUGGCUGCAUUGUCUCCGGUCCAAUGUGCCGUGUACUUCCCAGAACCCACAAAGGUAGAUCUGCUAAGUAUAAAUGGUCUUUUUCCAGUAACAUCGAUUAAAGCAGCAUUGGUCGUUUUAGCUUCCAGGAAUCCGUAGAGGUUAUGAACAUCGUACUCUAAGGUAUUCCCAAAAUGUACUGAUGUUGCUGGGACAGUCUUCUCGUUUAUUGGACGUAAGCCUCCUGAGUUAUUGAUCUUAUAAGGAGGGUUGUCAAGGGUAGAAGAGGGGCUCGGAGGAGAAGAAAUGAAGUUAGAUAACUCAUUCAUGUCAAGCCAGAGCCCAUCGAUGGGGAGAAGGUCAUGGAAAAUCUUGAUUUCAUUACUCCAGAAGACUCUCCCUCGGGGAUUUAUGAAAUCAGGAAAGUAGACUUUUCCAGGCCAAACUUCGCCAAGAUAAGGGACACCAUUGCGUUUGAUGAAAACGUCUGCUUGCAUCCCUCUCUUAUAUGUUUCGUAUGAGCUAUUUAUGCUGAUCCCUGGAUCCAAUAUGAGAACAAAUUUCUGGCCAUUCUGAUGAAGUGUAUCGACAAAUUUCUUCAUCUGGUCAAGUGGGAAGUUAAUAGGAUCGAGUGUGAAAUCCUUGUAACCAUCCAUAUGAUCAAUAUCUGUCCACAUGACCUCGAGAGGGAUCUGAGCUUUCGCAUAGCCAGCAACCACAUUCUUAAUUUCAGUAAUGUCUUUAUAACCAUAACGGCAUUGGUGAAAUCCAAAAGACCAGUAUGGCAUGGGCGCUGGGCGGCCAAUGAGCUCUGUGUACUGUUCCAUGACCAACUCUGGCACAGGACCAGCAAAGAAGUACAAGUCAACCACCCCUCCAAUCACCUUGUAUGUAAUUCUGUCACCAGCGUACACAAUGUCCAUGCCAUUACUAUUGAACAGCAAGACUCCGUGACUAGUCCCCCCGCCAGGAUGAGACCUGACAUCCAUGUAAAAAGGGUGGGAACCAUACAAGUUGAGAUCAGCAUUAGCACUAGCAAUAUCAGCAUUCCAAAGAGUCAAUGUCUGAUUAUGCUUGAGCUUAAAAUUUCUUUUGGUAUGCUCCCCGAGACCAUAAAUAGAUGACCUAUUGGCUGGCAAUGAAGAGGACAAUUGAAGGUACUGAUCCUUGAAGAUGAAGAACGUGUCUGGAGAGUCAUUCUCAGGUCUGGUGUCAAAAAGAACGUCACCUGUGGAGUGGCGCGUGAUAGUAAAGCCAAAAGGGGUGGUGUUGUAGAGAGUGAAAGCAAGGUCCGAAACGGUGUCUGUAUGGAAGUAGUGCGUUUCUUCUGAUAAUGGAAAUGAGGUAGAAGAACGCUUUUCCAAGAGGGAGCUUCGGGGGGGUAAAUGAGUUUCCCGAGGGAUAAAUUCUCGAGGAACUUCCCAUCUUUCAUGAUCAGCAUCCGUAAUUCUGACUCUUAAACGCUCUUUCGCCUCAAAGCAAGCAGUAAGAGUGAGAUUUUGAAUGUCAGUUCCAAAAACAGAGGAAUUUUUGAUGAGCUGAAGAUGAGCAGUCAACGUCCUUCCAGAUGAGUCAACGCCUAUUGAUCUAACAUUAUAUCCAUAACCAACUUGUUCAGAUUUUGUUAUAAGUGCUAAAAAUGGAACCAAAAAAAUGAAGAACAAGAUUAAAUAUUUUGAGAGAAUAAUUAUGAUAAUACAAGAUUUAUUAGUUGUGUG
Molecule: unclassified non-coding RNA, 1833 nt
Filed under: Hevea brasiliensis (rubber tree)
Lineage: Eukaryota; Viridiplantae; Streptophyta; Magnoliopsida; Malpighiales; Euphorbiaceae
Source: RNAcentral